Molecule: long non-coding RNA, 450 nt
Organism: Siniperca chuatsi (mandarin fish)
Lineage: Eukaryota; Metazoa; Chordata; Actinopteri; Centrarchiformes; Sinipercidae
Exons: 2
Source: RefSeq, a predicted model, not a curated record
UGUCAGUAAGAACCCCUCAGUGUAUAUCUACAACAAGAACAGCCAGGCAGAGUUGAAGCAGGAAGUCUGUAAACCUGUUUUCUCUUUCAAAUAACUUUGGCUAACCUGGAGGUUUUUGUUUAAAACCGGUCUGAUCGUCUGACUGCUCGUGUUUUUUAGCCUGUCUGACUUCUUCUUAGUGAUAUCGCCAGAUCUCAUCAAUGAACUUGGCGUGGCAGUCCAUAUCUCUCCUACACACCUGCAACCAACCACUCAUCAAGCCCUUGCCGCCAGUUCCCCUGCACACCUGCGGUUCAUCCAAUCAUCCAAUCGUCUGCCUGCCUACCAGCCUGGUUUCUGUGACCUCCCCAGCCUGUCCGUCUUCCCUCCCUCCCUUCACCGCGAGACUUCGAGUCAGCCUCUCAAACCCCUCUGCUCCCAGCGUUGUGAAAUAAACUGUUUAAACUUAGA